UGCAAGUCGAACGGAAACGAUGGAAGCUUGCUUCCAGGCGUCGAGUGGCGGACGGGUGAGUAAUGCUUGGGAAUCUGCCUAAUAGUGGGGGAAAACUCGGGGAAACUCGGGCUAAUACCGCAUAAUCUCUUCGGAGGAAAGGGGGCCUCUACAUGUAAGCUCUCGCUAAUAGAUGAGCCCAAGUCAGAUUAGCUUGUUGGUGAGGUAAAAGCUCACCAAGGCUACGAUCUGUAGCUGGUCUGAGAGGACGAUCAGCCACACUGGGACUGAGACACGGCCCAGACUCCUACGGGAGGCAGCAGUGGGGAAUAUUGCACAAUGGGCGCAAGCCUGAUGCAGCAAUGCCGCGUGUGUGAAGAAGGCUUUAGGGUUGUAAAGCACUUUCAAUAGAGAAGAAAAGCUUAGAGUUAAUAACUCUAAGCAUUGACGUAACCUAUAGAAGAAGCACCGGCUAAAUCCGUGCCAGCAGCCGCGGUAAUACGGAUGGUGCGAGCGUUAAUCGGAAUUACUGGGCGUAAAGCGUACGUAGGCUGUUUUAUAAGUCGGAUGUGAAAUCCCCGGGCUCAACCUGGGAACUGCAUCCGAAACUAUUUAACUAGAGUAUGGGAGAGGUAAGUAGAAUUUCCGGUGUAGCGGUGAAAUGCGUAGAUAUCGGAAGGAAUACCAGUGGCGAAGGCGGCUUACUGGACCAAUACUGACGCUGAGGUACGAAAGCGUGGGGAGCGAACAGGAUUA
This 735-nucleotide ribosomal RNA is filed under the name uncultured Gammaproteobacteria bacterium. RNAcentral's name for it is "bacterial SSU rRNA". It matches the Rfam family "Bacterial small subunit ribosomal RNA", at positions 56 to 780 of the family's 1533-position model. Lineage: Bacteria; Pseudomonadati; Pseudomonadota; Gammaproteobacteria. The record is from RNAcentral.